Potamilus streckersoni is the source of this 78-nucleotide non-coding RNA. NCBI's taxonomy places the organism in Eukaryota, Metazoa, Mollusca, Bivalvia, Unionida, Unionidae. The record is from the annotation of a GenBank genome assembly.
GACUGCUUCGGUGGCCAAAGUGGUUAGAGCAUCAGCCUUGGAUGCAGGAGUUUGUAGGUUCAAACCCUGGCCAAGUCA